UACCUGCAGCUCGAGUGGUAACCGCUUUUAUUGGGCCUAAAGCGUCCGUAGCCGGUUUGGUAAAUAUCUGGGUAAAUCGUGAGGCUUAACUUCACGAAUUUCGGAUAGACUGCCAGACUUGGGAUCGGGGGAGGUCAGAGGUACUCCAGGGGUAGCGGUGAAAUGUUGUAAUCCUUGGAGGACCACCGGUAGCGAAGGCGUCUGACUAGAACGAGUCCGACGGUGAGGGACGGAGCCCUGGGGCGCAAACCGGAUUAGAUACCCGGGUAGUCCAGGGUGUAAACAAUGUGGGCUUUGUAUUGGAGGUCCCACGUGGGCGUCCAGUGCAGAAGAGAAGUUGUUAAGCCCACCGCCUGGGAAGUACGGUCGCAAGGCUGAAACUUAAAGGAAUUGGCGGGGGAGCACAGCAACGGGAGGAGCGUGCGGUUU
This 429-nucleotide ribosomal RNA is filed under the name uncultured archaeon. RNAcentral describes it as "bacterial SSU rRNA". It matches the Rfam family "Archaeal small subunit ribosomal RNA", at positions 474 to 903 of the family's 1478-position model. The record is from RNAcentral.